CAAUAGCGUAUAUUAAAGUUGUUGCAGUUAAAAAGCUCGUAGUUGGAUUUGUGGCGUACGGUGGGUUCCGGGCACUUGUUGUCUGAGUAACUUGCUGUUGCCAUCCUUGGGUGGAACCUGUGUGGCAUUAGGUUGUCGUGCAGGGGAUGCCCAUCAUUUACUGUGAAAAAAUUAGAGUGUUCAAAGCAGGCUUAUGCCGUUGAAUAUAUUAGCAUGGAAUAAUGAGAUAGGACUUUUUUGCUAUUUUGUUGGUUUGCGCAAAGAGGUAAUGAUUAAUAGGGACAGUUGGGGGUAUUCGUAUUCCAUUGUCAGAGGUGAAAGUCUUGGAUUUUUGGAAGACGAACUACUGCGAAAGCAUUUACCAAGGAUGUUUUCAUUAA
Molecule: ribosomal RNA, 380 nt
Filed under: uncultured eukaryote
Lineage: Eukaryota
Description: partial 18S ribosomal RNA
Rfam family: Eukaryotic small subunit ribosomal RNA
Source: RNAcentral